AUUGAUUCAACUUUUUUCCUGAACAAGUGACAAGUCACACAUUUUUGCCAAAAAAAAAAUUGUGAGACCAAAUUAGCCGCGAUUAAACAAUAAAGUUCUACUGAUGAAAAGUUGCCUAUGAUAAAUGAGGUGAGAUGGGAAAGAGUAAAAUAGCAUAGCAUUUAGCAUGCAUGGUUAGUGAUUACGAUGGCAGAGAUAAGUUUCGUGAUACCUUUUUAGCACAGCUUCGGCUCCAAGAAUUCUUCGAGAGGGGUAUUCCUAGCUUCGAAGCCGGAGCUGGGGAUAUAUUGAGAUAUUUAUAUGAGCCCUUUUGAUUUGAAUUUAGACUAAAAAUAUAUAUAACCUACUUUAUUUUGAUUUACAAACUCUAUAAUUAACUUGGAGAUAGGAGCUGACUUGUAUCAAUUGGGCUGCUUCAACUUUUCUCAACAAGUAAACAAGCCACGCUCUUUUUUUUUUGGCAAAAAAUGAGAGACCAAAUAAGCCGUGUAUAAUUAUGAAAGUUUUUACCCAAGAAAAGCCACCUACAUGAAAUGAAGUAAGAUGCCAAAUACUCUCUCCGUCCCAC
RNAcentral lists this long non-coding RNA (568 nucleotides) under Setaria viridis. RNAcentral describes it as "long non-coding RNA (SVIR_LNC001232)". The record is from RNAcentral. Lineage: Eukaryota; Viridiplantae; Streptophyta; Magnoliopsida; Poales; Poaceae.